UUUCAUGCAGGAAGAAUUUCCAAGAGAGAAUAAGAAUGGCUCAAUAUUUGUGAAUUUAACCCAUUUUUAAUCAGGAAAACAAACCAAGGAGUAACCGGGAGACUAGUCUCAAGUCUUGAAUGCUUCUCCAUGGAGUAGAGGGACAGAAGGCAGAAACCUGUGCGGAUUAAUAGAAGAUUUCUGAGAAAACAAAACAAAGGGUCCCAUAGAACGAGUCUCUAACGAAACUUUCUUCUCAAAACAAAAUUGUGUCUCUCGCUUCUUGGACGGCCGUCCCCAUCUAUAAAACCUGCCAACUGUAAGUUCCUUUGCCUUGCAAAAAUAUAGGGGACUCUUCUUAAUGCUUGCACAGAAAUACUUUCUUGAAUUUUUAGCUUCUUGUAAAGUAUUUAACAUUUAACAUGUUUCUACAGGUUAUUAAUUCUGUGAAAUUGAGUAAAGCAGCAAGUUCAGGCAUGCAAGGAUCAAGAGAGAUUUUCUCAAAAUGCAUCUGACUGCUGCCAGCAGGGCUUAGCCUUAGUCAAAUCUAUCUCUGUCCUCACUUAAGUUAUUAAGUGACACACUUUGAAGUUUCAACAAUUUAGUUAAAGGGCCUAGCAGUCCAAUUAAAAACAAACAAACAAACAAACAAACCAACCAACCAAAAUUAUCCCAAAUAGUCCCACUUGGCCAAGAGUUGCUUUUUUAUAUUUAUUAGUCUUACUGUUGAGCUCACUAGUAUGGCAACUGGUGUUAACAGUGUGCUUAUUUUAAAAUCUAUAUAGUUUCAGAACUAGUAGUGGGUGCAACUGUGGCAAAAUGUCAUGCUCUUAUUUAUUAAUAACUUGCUUGUUUGGGGGGUUUGUUUUGCUGUACGACAGGUUUCCUUAAUGCAAAUUAUUCUUAUAGGAUUGGUGAAUAGCAAAAUGAUAUCAACAGAAACAGAUUUACCAUAAAGCUAAUGAAGCAUUACAUUCAUAUGAUGAUAAUGUGUUUCUGUAAAAUUUACUAAAGUGUGGUACAAAUAAAAGCACUUAAUUGGGAGCAAGAGAUACAUUCUUAAUAGAUUAAUCCUUAAAAAGAGAAACUGCAAAGGAAUUUUUUAAAAUAAAAAAUGCCUAGACUCUUGGGUUUCUUUUUAAUAACCCACUAAAUGAAAGGAUGGAACCAUAUGAUAUUGUAGAAAAACUUGAAUUUUCUGCUAGUCAUGAACACAGACGACAUAGCUCUUAAUAUUCCAGUAGAGUGAGGAUACUGACAACUAACUUUUUAAUGGAUGUUGAAAAUCCCAAAAUAUUUAAGACCAGUGACAACAUGCACAAACUUACAGAGCCCCAUGGUCUUUUCGUCUUACAGCUGAAAGAAACUUGAUAAAUAUUUCCCCCCAAUUGUUAAAAAUUCUAAACAUUACAGUAACAAAUAGUGGAAUUUCAAAAGAAACUUCUCUAAACUAUCAAUGACAAAAAAGAUUUUUGUCAAUUUUGUUUGAGGUGGGGUUGAAUUUUACUUUCUCCAUAGGAAAGAUUAUCAUUUAGCUGUUGUAAUAAGAGAUGAUCAAGGAGAGUAAAAGUGAAAAUGGAGUCAGCAAAGUCGGUCAGGUCAAUUAAUUAAUGAAAACAAAUAAUUGUCUGUAUCUCAUAAAGAUUUUGGCAAUUAUCAGCAUUUUAAAAUUGGUGAGUUGUGAUUUGGCUCUUAUUCUAAAUGAAUAGUUACUUCUCAACCUAGUAAUUUCACAUACUUUUUCUUAAAGAAAUACUUCAAAAGUAUAGAGGAUUGAAGACCAACACAAGCUGCAUCUAUCCCUGAUAUCAGAAUAAAAUUCUAGGUGGCUCCUAUGGGAAGUUCUCUGGCAUGCUAAUAUUUUGAGGUUAGCAGCAAGCUUUUCUCAAAGUAAAAGGGAAAGCCUUUGGAGUAUGUACAGAAAGUUUAAAAAGUCUCAAAAUAGAGAUACUUCUUCCUUUACUGCAGAUGUGACUCAUUCUGUGUCACUCAGAUCCUUAGAGGUUGCCUAGGUUGGGCUGAAGAGGCACCAAUUAAAUCCAUGAAAACAGUUCUGCUUGUGUAAUUAUUGUCCAUCCCCCACCCCAAGUGAUGAAGAUGAUUGCCCUUAAACUGCAUUUUGGAUUUGGAUGAAAUUGAUCUCUGUUACAGGAGAAUGGUACCAGCGGCUGGCAUCUUGAAAGGGGAAACAGAAGCCCAGAUUAUAAGUAUGCAUAGAAUAAGUGAGAUUUUUAAAUGUGUCUGAGGGGAGUUAAUUGAACUACAGUUCUAUUCAUAUCACUAUUAUUUGAGAUAGGGUACUUGCCACAAUGCUCCAUAGGUUUUGAAUUCAUCUGUCUCAUGUGUGUUUUCCCUAGAAACCCCAUUAUUUUUGUACAGUUUUUUGGUACAAUUACGUUGAAUGUGAGCCUUUUCCAGAACCUAAUUAUGACAGUAAGGCAGAUAUGCCUGCAUUUAUACCAUGGCUAUUUGUAAAAGAUUUUUGUACAACAUCUAAGACAAACAUGACAAGAAGAAAAAGUAUGAGCUGUACAAAAUGAGAAUGAUCUGAGACAGGCAGAGUAUAGACAUGUUAGGAAUAAAAUCUACAAAAUAACAAAAAUUUGUCCCCAAAAGAAAGAAGUUCUGAUAAAUAAAAUAGCACUUUUCAUCUCUUCUUCCUGGCAUCUAGGAUAGGAAAAUCUAGUCCUAAUAGAGUUUUCAUGUGGGGAUGAAAUGAAUCACACAAAUGUAAAAGUUGAGACCACAUGGAUAAAACAUCCCAAUAUUGUGCGGAGCUCAUAGUAGGUGCUUAGAAAAUGUGGGAGAAAUCUGAGUCUUUCAGUCAGAAGAGCUUGUUUUCAUCCUAGCUCAGCCUCUUACUGGUUUUCUGACCUUGGUCAUGUUAUUUACCUCUUGGAACUUUGCUUCAUCUGUGACAAGGGAAUAAUAAUACUUCAGAAGCACA
Long non-coding RNA from Fukomys damarensis (Damara mole-rat), 2926 nucleotides. RefSeq lists it as uncharacterized. The record is from RefSeq and is a predicted model, not a curated record. Lineage: Eukaryota; Metazoa; Chordata; Mammalia; Rodentia; Bathyergidae. The transcript has 3 exons.